RNAcentral lists this ribosomal RNA (513 nucleotides) under Planaeschna sp. 2 RF-2021. RNAcentral's name for it is "partial 16S rRNA". It matches the Rfam family "Archaeal large subunit ribosomal RNA", at positions 1911 to 2666 of the family's 2987-position model. Lineage: Eukaryota; Metazoa; Arthropoda; Insecta; Odonata; Aeshnidae. The record is from RNAcentral.
GUCUUCUUGUUAUAUUUAGGAAGUCUGGCCUGCCCAGUGAAAUUAAUUUAACGGCCGCGGUAUAUUGACCGUGCAAAGGUAGCAUAAUCAUUAGUCUUUUAAUAGAGGGCUGGUAUGAAGGGUUUAACGAGGUGUUGACUGUCUCAUUUAAUUUGAAUAUUAGAAUUUAAUUUUUUAGUUAAAAAGCUAAAAUAUUAUUGGAAGACGAGAAGACCCUAUAGAGCUUUAUAUUUUUGUUAUUAAUUUAUUAUAGAUUAUUAUUAUUUAUUAUUAAUAAAAAGUAUUUUGUUGGGGUGACAAAAAUAUAUGAAUAACUUUUUUAUUUAAUUUACAUUGAUAUAUGAAUAUUAGAUCCAAUCUUAUUGAUUGUUAGAUUAAGUUACCUUAGGGAUAACAGCGUAAUCCUCCUCCAGAGUUCUUAUUUACAGGAGGGCUUGCGACCUCGAUGUUGGAUUAAGAUAAUAAUUAGGUGCAGCCGCUUAAUUAAUAGGUCUGUUCGACCUUUAAAUUCUU